This 363-nucleotide long non-coding RNA is filed under the name Vigna radiata. RNAcentral describes it as "long non-coding RNA (VRAD_LNC015758)". The record is from RNAcentral. Lineage: Eukaryota; Viridiplantae; Streptophyta; Magnoliopsida; Fabales; Fabaceae.
UAUAGGCCUGACAGUAGGUGAAUAGUCAUUCUUUUCCGCCAUAUAGAUGUCAAAUCCCGCCACCCCCGAUAUCUAUAUACGAUUAUAGACGUUGGGGCCCCUUCUAACUGACGUCUAUAGGCCUGACAGGUAGGUGAAUAGUCAUUUUUAUCCGCCAUAUAGACGUCAGAUCCUGCAACCCCCGACGUCUAUAUACAAUUUUAGAUGUCGGCCCCUUGUAACCGAUGUCUAUAAGUUCAAUUAGACGUCAGUUACUAGGGACACCGACGUCUAUAUGCCCACGAAUAUUAAUUUUUAAAUCAUAAAGACAUCAUUUUAAUGAGGGCCCCAACGCCUAUACUAUUAAAGACGUCAGUCCCCCCC